Pseudomyrmex gracilis is the source of this 621-nucleotide long non-coding RNA. RefSeq lists it as uncharacterized. NCBI's taxonomy places the organism in Eukaryota, Metazoa, Arthropoda, Insecta, Hymenoptera, Formicidae. The record is from RefSeq and is a predicted model, not a curated record. The transcript is spliced from 3 exons.
GAUGAAGGUGCACUUUUCGUGAAGGUGCACCGUGCCAUUUGAUCAGAGAUUACAUUUUUAUCAAGAUCGAGAAGUGGUUAAUCUAAGUUUUUUUUUCAAAACACGCAUAAGUCUGAAAAAUAAUAUUGGAUCAUGGUUAUGAAAAGAUUUUUAAAACGAUGGUUUGGCGUGACAACAAAAGACCAAGCACAAGCUAUAAACCGAAAACUUUCAAUAAUCUACGCUAUCGUGGGAUGGCAUUGUUUUGGUUUUAUGUUUUAUUCUAUUGUAAAAAACAGACUUCCAGACGAUGGUUCAAAUCAAAGAUCGCUGUACAAAUAUCUAAUCGAUGGAUCUACCAACUUGCAAGUAUAUGAAGUGAAAGGAUUCAAACUUAGCAACAAGUAUGACAUUAGCAGCGACACCGAGGACAUUUACGAGGAGGGAAAAGAGACUGAAUGAAACAGAAACCUCCAGACCACGCUUCGAAAGCAAGAAAACAUGUUGUAGGUAACACAAUAAUUAUUUAUCAGAACUUGAUCGUCUAUAAAUAUGUAAAUAUAUAUAUGUAUAUAUAUGUAGCGCGUAUAACAAAGCGUUAUUAUUCAAAAAUAUAAAUUUCGUCAAACUUGUAAUAUCUUA